This is an RNA transcript of Cercocebus atys (sooty mangabey), 517 nucleotides long. It is a transcript of the gene named elongation factor 1-delta-like, with no coding region annotated. The record is from RefSeq and is a predicted model, not a curated record. The transcript has a single exon. NCBI's taxonomy places the organism in Eukaryota, Metazoa, Chordata, Mammalia, Primates, Cercopithecidae.
UCCUCAGGCAUCCCGCGUCUGCCGAUUCCUCCUCCCUGGUCGCCGCGUCCUUGGCUGGCGUAAAAAUGGCUACAAACUUCCUAGUACAUGAGAAGAUCUGGUUUGACAAGUUCAAACAUGACGAUGCAGAAAGGAGAUUCUACGAGCAGAUGAACGGGCCUGUGGCCGGUGCCUCCCGCCAGGAGAAUGGCGCCAGCGUGAUCCUUCGUGACAUUGCGAGAGCCAGAGAGAACAUCCAGAAAUCCCUGGCCGGAACCUCAGGCCCCGGGGCCUCCAGCGGCCCCAGCGGAGACCACAGCGAGCUUGUCGUCCGGAUCGCCAGUCUGGAGGUGGAGAACCAGAGCCUGCGCGGCGUGGUACAGGAGCUGCAGCAGGCCAUCUCCAAGCUGGAGUGCUGGAGACAAGCUCGCCUGGCCACCGGGCCACAGCCCCGCAGACCCAGCACAUGUCUUCCAUGCGCCAAGUGGAGCCCCCGGCCAAGAAGCCAGCCACACCAGCAGAGGAUGACGAGGAUGAU